CACGUAGGGGGCAAGCGUUGUCCGGAAUUAUUGGGCGUAAAGAGCUCGUAGGCGGCUCGGUAAGUCAGGUGUCAAAUCUUCAGGCUCAACCUGGGGCUCCACCUGAUACUGCUGUGGCUAGAGUCCGGUAGGGGAGCGUGGAAUUCCUGGUGUAGCGGUGAAAUGCGCAGAUAUCAGGAGGAACACCAGCGGCGAAGGCGGCGCUCUGGGCCGGAACUGACGCUGAGGAGCGAAAGCGUGGGUAGCAAACAGG
Molecule: ribosomal RNA, 253 nt
Filed under: uncultured bacterium
Lineage: Bacteria
Description: partial 16S ribosomal RNA
Rfam family: Bacterial small subunit ribosomal RNA
Source: RNAcentral